AUUAAAGAUGGCAGAGAAAUGAUGUUAGGGGAAGGCUAUUCAUCAAACUGAGGGGAAACUACCCACUCCUCUUCUUGGCUCUUCUACUUCUCAUCUGUACAAGCCUGGCCCCUAGGAAAUCAAUCUUCUUCAGCUCCCUAUUUCACAGAGGCAGUAGGAAGACUGAAUGGAAAAUGUAUGUGACCACUACAGUGCGGUUCUCUGUAAACGCACCUCCCUUCUGUAAUCCCAGGCCUUGCAUUUUCUAAAAUCUGGCUCCCUCAACUAGGCCUUUCUGUUCAGUAACUUCAGUAACUUAUUUCCCUAUUCAGCGCUAUUGGCUCAUUUUCUGCCUCUUACUUGGUUGCAAUCCAGAGCCCUAGAAAUGAGUCUUCCAUUUUUAUUUUAGUCAGCUCAGGCUACCAUAACAAGCUAUCACAGACUAGAUAAUGUAAACAAGGGACAUGCAUUUCUCACAGCUCUGGAGACUGGAAAUCCAAGGUCAAGGUACCGGCAGGGUUGGUCUCUGGUGAAGCCUCUCCCUCUGGCUUGCAGACAGCACCUUCUCAGUGUCCUCAUAUGAACUUUCCUCUGUGCUAGUUCAGGGGAGCAUGAGGGACUCCAGUGUCUCUUCUUCUUGUGAGAAGACCAGCCCUUUUGGAUUAGGGACUCCCCCUUAUAAUGUCAUUUAACCCUAAUUAUCCUUCUAAAGGCCCUGAUUCCAAAUGCAGUCACCUUGGUGAUAAGGCUUUCUACAUGUAAACUUUGCAGGUACACUUUUGCAUCCAUAAUGCUUAGUGUGCUCUUAUCUUCUCAUUACUGUACCAGCCAAACUAAUGAAGGAAUGGAUAUCUGCUAAUGAUUUUCAAACAGAGGUUGAAUCACUUGUAACACUUUUGUAAAUUACAGAAUCCAGGACCCAUUCCAGAUCUACUGAACUACAGAACUUGGGGGAUGGUGCCCCAGAAGCUAUGGGACCUGUGCAGCUGCUUCUGAUGCCCCAGCCUGGCUUCCUGCCUUCACCUCCCACCCCCACUCCUGCCUACCCACCUUCUCCCCACUCUCUGAUUUUCCUCCUUACUAAUCAACUGCAGCAGUUCUUUCAAAAACCACCCUAUGAUUUCAUGAUUGCAAAAUUGCGUGGUAUUUCUUCAAUCUCUGUUCCGUUUAAUGUGCCUGCAACGGUUGUACCCCAGGGUACCCAGAUUUCAUGAAAUUCUCUUUUUGUUCUCCAUGGCAUUGUGCCCACAUGAAUUACAUCUCUAACUCAAGUCUUUACCCCAUUCCCGAAAGGCACUGUCCUAAGCCAUUUUUUCCUUCCUUCUCCCAAAGCAUCUAAUUCAUUCCAAUAACCUCAAACACUGCUUUUUAUGAAAAUAAUCCUGAAAUCUUUAGAUCACUCUAUGAGCACCUUUUUUCAUUGAUCUUCUCCUCCAGAUACAUGUCUUCUCAGGACUGUCUCAUUUAUUCCUCAAACUCAACAUAUUCAUUUUUUUCAUCAAAUAUUAAGGAACAACCAUGUGCUAGGACCUGUUUCUGGGAACAGGGGCAAGAGCCAGACAUAGUGUCACCCUUCCAGAGUCUGCAGUUUCAUAAAGAAAUGUCAUCCAGCAACUGUAAUGCGUAACAUAAAAACUUUUAAAAAAAUAUCUCCAAUGCCAUGAGGUGGGAAGCUCAGGGUACUAAGAGGCAGAGCCAAGAGAGACCUGGCAAGCAGGUGAGGCUUCUGGAGAGACUAUUAUCUAUGUUCAGCCCUAAAACAUGAGUAAGAGUAAAUGAUGAAAAGAGGAAAGACAAGAAUAUAUCAUAGUAAUCAUUUAUCAAUUCUGGGUGAAUCAACACCGGCUUUCCUUUCUAUCAUCACCCCAACUGGCCUUACAAAGCUCCUUGGGUACAGGCUGAGGGGACACUCCCAGAAGCCUGGGGCACAAGCCUCCCAUUCUCCAGAAUAGCAGAACCAGGAGAAUGUGUGGGCACAUGAUUUAGGUACGAACAGUGAAAUGAUCUCUCCCAAGAGUUUGGAAUUUUGAGCUUUUGAGCAGAAUAAAGGACAAGUAUUUUCUUUUCAUAGGCCAAAAAAAAAAAACGUAGGCACCCAAAGAGGUAGAUUCUAAAGAGAACCACAGUGGAAAACAGGAGCAAGUGUGUCAAGGUGGGGAAUGUUAUAGUUAAGAUCUUUGGGUCUGAGGUGAUACAAACUUGACUUUGAGUCUCUGCACUUCUCGUGAACUUCAUGACCUUGGGCAAUUUCCUUGGUUUCCCAAAUUAUGAGAUAGAAUAACAAUCACAGUUUCAUCAUUGGGUUCCCUCAAGGGUUACACGAGCUGUCUCAUGUAGAAGGCUCAGCACAGUACCUGGCAUAGAUAGAUGAUGCUGGACCAAGCAGUUGGCAGGAUGAGUUCUGCAAAAGGUCAAGGAAGGCAAGGAGGGAGUGUGUCACCCAGAGUCACACAAUAGAGAAGGCCCUGGAGCCUGAAGAGAGCAGUUUACAGGAAGAAAGAAGGAUGGAAACAAAAUGCAAUGGGUGGGAAAGGAUGGCACAAGGAAAAACAGAGAUGAGUGAAGCUGAGUAUUUAAGCCUGUUAUAGGGAAGUAGAUUUAAUGAUUGAUCUCUGUGUGUAACACAAAGGUACCCAUGAAGUUCCCAUCUCCAAGAUGGGAGAUACAUGGCAUGCUUAAAAGCUAAUGGAAAGAGGGCUGGGGAUAUAGCUCAGUUGGUAGAGUACUUGACUUGCAUGCACAAGGCCCUGGCAGGGUUCAAUCCUCAGCACCACAAAAAAAAAAAAAAAAGAGAGAGAGACAACAUUGAGUGAAAAAUUAAGACAUAGAAAAUGGGGCACUGUAGUAAUCCCAGAGACUCAGAAUCCUGAGGCAGGAGGAUCGUAAGUUCAAAGCCAGCCUCAGCAAAAGUGGGGUGCUAAGCAACUCAGUGAGACCCUAUCUUUAAAUAAAAAGUAGGGCUAGGGAUGAGGCUCAGUGGUGGAGUGCCCUGAGUUCAAUUCCCAGUACCCACCUACCCCCAAAAAGAAAAGAAAAUGGUAUAAUCAAUUGUAUCCAUGGAUCUGAAAGUAUAAUCUGCACAUUUCUAGAGGUCUCUGAGAUCAAAACUAUUCUCACAGUCAUAAAAAGAUAUUAUUUGUCUUUUUUUUUCUGUAUGACAUUUUGUUGUCAUUGCAGAAACAAUGGUGUGUAAAACGGCUGGUGCUUUGGCACGAAUCAAGGCAGAGGCAGGAAAUCUACCCCCGUCAACACUUGCCAAGUAUCAAUGCCAGUUCCACUUAAGAAUGGCCUUCAUGAAGCACAAAAAGUAUGAAUUUUAUUAAAUCUCAACCCAUGAACCCACAUCUUUAAUACCCUAUGUGGAAAAAUCACAUAAAAUACUUCUUUUUCAAACCCAAAGUGAUGGUUUUGUUCACACCACAUUGUGAGCUGAGCCAAUCCCCUCUUUUGUGGAAUUCAAUUUUUACUUUAAAAAUUAGAUGAAGAACUAUGGCUAUUCAAAUUGAAUAUUUAAAAAGCAUUUUCUAGGAAAUGAACAAACCAAGCCUGUCAUUACCAAAAAAAAAAAAAAAACUGACAGAAUUUAUUUCCAAUAAUAAUAUUCAAGCUGGGAACCAUGACGCAUACCUGUGAUCCCACAAUUUAGGAGGCUAAGGCAGGAGGAUUACGAGUUGGAAAGAACUUAGUAAGACUUAGUGAGAUCCUGUCUCAAAAUAAAAAAUACAGUUGGUUGGGGAAUGUAGCUGAGUGGUAAAGAGGCCCUAGGUUCAAUCCCUAGUACCAAUAAUAAUAGUACUAAUGAUAACAAUAAAAAUAGUAAUAAUAAAACUUUCAAGCAAAAAGUAUGAUUUUGGAAACUUUGUAUCAACUCUCUCAAUGUUUUUAAAGACCUUUUUGAUGUGAUUAGUGGUGAUAUUAAUGAAUGUGAUAUUUUUAAUACUGUAAAAUAAAAUGUACCAAAAUUCAGGAAGAUAUGUGCAACUCAGUGACUCAACGUUUUCAAAUGACCAUGCAUAAUGUUAAAAAUCACAUCUUAUUAAAGCAUCAAAAUGCAAAACAAAUGAAUGGUUUUAAAGUCACAACGUAUGAAACAGGCAUCAAUGCAUCUUCAGAUCCAACAUUAUAGCUAGCAUUUAAGAAACUAUUGUUGAGUUUUGGUGUGAUAUCAAAGAAAAUAUCCACGAUUAUCUGAAUAGAUUAUUAAAAUAGUCCUCCCUAAAAAUGUCAGUGAGGCAGGAUUCUCUUUCCAUACUUCAACCAAAUAACCAUUUCCCAGUAGAUUCUAUGCAGAUGUAGAUAUGAAAAAUCC
This 4288-nucleotide long non-coding RNA is filed under the name Marmota monax (woodchuck). The record is from RNAcentral. Lineage: Eukaryota; Metazoa; Chordata; Mammalia; Rodentia; Sciuridae.